UACGGAGGGUGCAAGCGUUAUCCGGAUUUAUUGGGUUUAAAGGGUCCGCAGGCGGAUUUGUAAGUCAGGGGUGAAAGCCGGCAGCUUAACUGUCGAACUGCCUUUGAUACUGCAAGUCUUGAGUGAGGUUGAAGUAGCUGGAAUGUGUAGUGUAGCGGUGAAAUGCUUAGAUAUUACACAGAACACCGAUUGCGAAGGCAGGUUACUAAGUCUUAACUGACGCUGAGGGACGAAAGCGUGGGGAGCGAACAGG
This 253-nucleotide ribosomal RNA is filed under the name uncultured bacterium. Its description in RNAcentral is "partial 16S ribosomal RNA". It matches the Rfam family "Bacterial small subunit ribosomal RNA", at positions 524 to 776 of the family's 1533-position model. The record is from RNAcentral.